Molecule: ribosomal RNA, 805 nt
Filed under: uncultured fungus
Lineage: Eukaryota; Fungi
Description: eukaryotic LSU rRNA
Rfam family: Eukaryotic large subunit ribosomal RNA
Source: RNAcentral
CCCGCUGAACUUAAGCAUAUUAUUAAGCGGAGGAAAAGAAACUAACAAGGAUGCCCUCAGUAACGGCGAGUGAAGCGGGCAAAGCUCAACCUGAAAAUCGGGUUUCCAAACGGGAUCUCGAAUUGUGGGCUACAGACGGCUGGUCAGUGUGUGACCCGGGUAUAAGUGUGCUUGGAAUACGCUAUCACAGAGGGUGAUAAUCCCGUUCGUGACCCGGAGUUCGCCGCGUACGACCGCUGUUCGCAGAGUCGCGUUGUUUGGGAUUGCAGCGCUAAAUGGGUGGUAAAUUUCAUCUAAAGCUAAAUAUCGACGAGAGACCGAUAGCGAACAAGUACCGUGAGGGAAAGAUGAAAAGAACUUUGAAAAGAGAGUUAAAAAGUACUUGAAAUUGCUAAGAGGGAAGCACUGGAAACCAGUUAUUUAUACACGUAUUUUUAAUGUCCGCUCCUGGAUUCUGUUCGGUUCGGUGAGCCUAAAGCCACCCUCAGUUCAGAUGAAAAUGUGGGCAUGUCGUGCGUGUAUAAUCAUCAAGAUCUAUUCGUUUUCGAACGAGAAAGCUUUCGCAACGGUAGGCGCCAGGUAGCAAUAUCUGUGUGCUGUUUAGUGUGAGAGUCCUAGUUUGGAAUGGAUAGAGGAACAAUUUUAGACGCGCACCACUAGGUUAGCGGGUCCUGUUCCCUGGUCGCUCAAGGAGAUUGGACAACAAAGUUGUGCGUUUCCUGAAGGCUACUACUGGUUCGGGUCACUCAGCAGCAGCGUCGUGAUCUUGAUAAAAUGGUUUUCAUUGACCCGUCUUGAAACACGG